UGGCGGAUCGUCUAAUGGCAGGACAACGGUUUUUGGUGCCGUACGUCUAGGUUCGAAUCCUAGUCCGCCAGCCA
RNAcentral lists this transfer RNA (74 nucleotides) under Fimbriimonadaceae bacterium. Its description in RNAcentral is "tRNA-Gln". It matches the Rfam family "tRNA". Rfam says of the family: Transfer RNA (tRNA) molecules are approximately 80 nucleotides in length. The record is from RNAcentral. RNAcentral also lists the same sequence under 1 other name. Lineage: Bacteria; Bacillati; Armatimonadota; Fimbriimonadia; Fimbriimonadales; Fimbriimonadaceae.